This 266-nucleotide ribosomal RNA is filed under the name uncultured bacterium. RNAcentral describes it as "partial 16S ribosomal RNA". It matches the Rfam family "Bacterial small subunit ribosomal RNA", at positions 524 to 787 of the family's 1533-position model. The record is from RNAcentral.
UACGUAGGCAGCGAGCGUUGUUCGGAGUUACUGGGCGUAAAGGGUGUGUAGGCGGUUCUUUAAGUUUGGUGUGAAAUCUCCCGGCUCAACUGGGAGGGUGCGCCGAAUACUGAGGGACUAGAGUACGGGAGAGGAAAGUGGAAUUCCUGGUGUAGCGGUGAAAUGCGUAGAUAUCAGGGGGGAACACCGGUGGUGUAGACGGCUUCUGGACCGUAACUGACGCUGAGACACGAAAGCGUGGGUAGCAAACAGGAAUUGAGAUACCC